UUAAUGAAAUGGUAUUUAUUUAUUUCGUUUUAUCGUGAUACUUUCUGAAAACCUCGUUUUCAUUCGAUUCAAGUACUCUAAACAGGGAGGAUAACGUUAUUGACUUCAGAGUCCAGACCAGAGAAAAGUCGGCGUUCCUGUGUGAAAAUGCCUGGAACACCAUGAGGAUAACUGCUGCAGCCAAAGAAGAAACUCAAGUUUGGUCCAUUUUAGAGGGAGAUAGAAUGGGCAGUGCUCCGAAAGAAAAGAUCAUGCUUCACCUCCCUGAGAUAAAAGCAGCAUCUUCCAGAUAAGCCACCCACCCACCACACAGUCUCCAGGAAUGCUGUUGUUUUUAAUUUCUCCCAGCUGCUCUGGCUCUGUGCCCGCCCGCCUGCCUGUCCACAUCUGCUCCCCAUCAGCCCAUGGUGGAGUCCACACAAACACAGCCCUCGCUUCAAAACACAGGGAUUAGUGCUCUCUGCCUCCGCUCUGGGAUCCGCAAACCGCCCACGCAAAUUCCCCCCGUCAACCUUCACAGCCCUCUGCACGACCCCCACCAGGUGAACUUCUCCCCGCGCCCCCUGUGACCCCCCCCCCCCCCCACCACCCUGCGUGUGCACCGAGGCAGUGUAGCUCAACGGGCUUGUGAAUCCCACAUUGUAGGUUUGAUUCCCAGAUGGGUCACUGCUGCUGCUGAUUCCUUAGUGGGACUGUAUCAGAGCUGUCCAGCCCUGUUCCUAGAGAUGUAACGUCCUGUAGGUUUUCUGUCCGACCCUAACAAAGCACACCUCAUUCAACAGCUAGAGAUCUGCUAUGGAUGCUAUUUGGUAGAAUCAGGUGUGCCAACUUAGGGUUGAAAUGGAAACCUACAGGACGGUAGAUCUCCAGGGACAGGGUUGGGCAGCCCUGGACUAUUUGCAAAAGGACGUGAAGCUCUGUGACUGGCUCUAAGACCAGCAAAAAAUGAGCCUGUGCGUGGACAGAGUGGGCAGAGCGUUCAACGCACCGUGGAAGAUGAAAAUGGUGACAUACUUGUUCAUGGCUGACGUGUCAGCCGGAAAAAAAGUUGCCUUUUUGAUUUUGAAUUAGAACAUUUCAGCAUGCAGGCAGACUUGUCUUCUGCAAAGAAAAGCACCACAUGUUCAAAUAUUGUAAAACUUUGCCUUAAAAAAAUUAUAAAAGACCAGUUGGAAAUUGUGAAUGGAAUUCAAAAUGUCUGCGCAGCACCGUAACAGUUAGAAAAAAAAAAGUAUUAGUACCAACAUUUUUCUUUUGGUUAAGGCGAUUGGAAGGACUCUGCUGGAAAAAAUAACUGAAGCCCUGCUGGGUAACAGACACCCACCUAUCCUACUUCUGAUGUAAUCCAGGCUUCAGGUCUUCUUCAGCUGUUUAAACUGCCGAGUCUUCACAUUUACUAAUGACAGGGUGGAAGAGAGGCUGGAGAAUGUGGAGCGGUACAAGUUUCAAAGCCGGCCCCUCCUCUACUCGCAAAAGAAUCACUGAGAUACUACACAGACAUCAGCCCCUUAAGAAAUAUGUUAAGCAGGAGCAAAUGCUGGGAUAUUUUCACAGAAUGCUUUUUUAAAAAAAAAAAUUUUUUAAACUGCGACCUGAACGGAACCAAAAGACGAGCUGGGCUGUGUGUCGGACAGUCAACGAGGGACAGUUUUCUGAGGAAGGGCAAGUUACUCGAAAGUGCUUCGGGAUGACAUGGCAGACCAGCUGCAGCUGGAGAGAGCGCUUGGCAGGACUGUUCAGAGCCCCUACAGAUGGAUAGCAGACCUAACCCUGACCUACAUCCAGGAACAGGAGCGUUCCUGCCUGAUUAGCAGAAGAAUAGGCUGCUGGGUGGUGUGGCUGGCUGUCUCCGAUUCGGAUGGGAAGCCCUCUGCCAGCAUCACAUGAGGCCGGCCCAUUUGAGCAGACUGUGGAGACAGUUGUCUGACAGACUGCCAGGGAGCCGGAGAA
This is a long non-coding RNA of Anguilla rostrata (American eel), 1950 nucleotides long. RefSeq lists it as uncharacterized. The transcript is spliced from 4 exons. NCBI's taxonomy places the organism in Eukaryota, Metazoa, Chordata, Actinopteri, Anguilliformes, Anguillidae. The record is from RefSeq and is a predicted model, not a curated record.